UACGAAGGGUGCAAACGUUGCUCGGAAUUAUUGGGCGUAAAGCGCACGUAGGCGGCUUAGUAAGUUGGAUGUGAAAUCCCUCGGCUUAACCAAGGAAGUGCAUCCAAAACUACUGAGCUUGAGUACUAAAGAGGAUCGCGGAAUUCCCGGUGUAGAGGUGAAAUUCGUAGAUAUCGGGAGGAACACCAGUGGCGAAGGCGGCGAUCUGGGUAGAUACUGACGCUGAGGUGCGAAAGCGUGGGGAGCGAACAGG
This 253-nucleotide ribosomal RNA is filed under the name uncultured bacterium. RNAcentral describes it as "partial 16S ribosomal RNA". It matches the Rfam family "Bacterial small subunit ribosomal RNA", at positions 524 to 776 of the family's 1533-position model. The record is from RNAcentral.